UCCUAGGUGGCUCAGUGGUGAAGAAUCUGCCUACCAAGCAGGAGACACAGGUUUGAUCCCUGGGUUGGGAA
Molecule: transfer RNA, 71 nt
Organism: Ovis aries (sheep)
Lineage: Eukaryota; Metazoa; Chordata; Mammalia; Artiodactyla; Bovidae
Rfam family: tRNA
About the family: Transfer RNA (tRNA) molecules are approximately 80 nucleotides in length.
Source: Rfam